RNAcentral lists this transfer RNA (66 nucleotides) under Tylothais aculeata. RNAcentral describes it as "tRNA-His". The record is from RNAcentral. Lineage: Eukaryota; Metazoa; Mollusca; Gastropoda; Neogastropoda; Muricidae.
GUCAAGUUAGUUUAUAAAAAACGUCAGCCUGUGGAUUUGAAGAAGAAACAUUACUUUCACUUGACC